GUGGGCGUACAGUUGGCUGGGUGGAAGCUUUAGCACAAGCAAGUUUAACAUCUCCAUUAGAGAUGCUCUUUCUUAGAGGCUAGAAGCCCUACACAUAUGCAGUCCUUUACGUGCCACCUAGACAUAUUUUUGUGAGAUUGAGGGGUGGAUCACACACCUUGGUGUUCCAGUUAUAUGAAAUCAUUUUUUAAUUGCUAACAGUUUCUUUGAAUGACAACGAAAGAUUAAGAAAUAAUUACGAGCAAGUAAAUAAGUCUACGACUAGAACUGGUGAUAUCUAGAGGUUCAUAUUGAUCCGGCCCGGAUAGCUA
This 311-nucleotide long non-coding RNA is filed under the name Actinidia chinensis (golden kiwifruit). RNAcentral's name for it is "long non-coding RNA (ACHI_LNC000702)". The record is from RNAcentral. Lineage: Eukaryota; Viridiplantae; Streptophyta; Magnoliopsida; Ericales; Actinidiaceae.